UUCAAGGACUAUAUUAUAAUAUACCAUUACUUUCUCAAAUUCGAUUUAGUCCUUUUUGACUUCAACUGUGAUAACAAAUUAAAUUUCGGCAAUAAGACAUACAAAAAGAAAAAGUUUUGACUAUAAUGAUGAAAAGUCUAAAAUUUUAGACUUUUUAUCCAAUAGGCCUUAAUUAAAUAUUUUUUGGAAAGUUAAUUUAAUUAAGAGGCCUAAAAAAUAUUUAAUAGAUAAAAGCUGAGAUUAAAGAGAUAAAUCUCAAAGGAAGUUAGCAGAAUAUCGGAAGUCAGCUAAAGCAAGAAAUUAUGGGAAGUUGGAGAAAGUGGGCAAUUAACUCCCACCAUCUAUUGAACUUGGAAAGUGGAGUCUCCAAAUCCUUUCAAGUACCUUGUUCAGGUCCCCUCAAUAUUCUUAGCAGUUUCUCCAUUUUGCAGAGCCAAGGUAGAUGGUCUUAGGCGAGGGAAGGUAGAAUUUGCAAAGUUUGGAAAAUAAACAGAUUUGAUUUGUUGGUUUCCAGCUUAGGACCUGCAAUGCAGAAUAAGAAGAACAAGAAUUUGAUUGCACUAAACACACUAAAUUAUAUUAAGUUGCCAUAAAAACAUCGCAGCCUAACCAUUCAUUUCAUUCCUUACUAAUUCUAAACAUGACUGAGGCUCUCAUUAGACUUUUGAUUGAUCAAUAUUGGGAAUUUAAACUUCAAUUUUUUUUGUGUUUUAUUAUCUUCUUUUUUAUUGUCACUAUUUUCAUUUUAUCAUUUUCCUGUAUUACAACAACCACAUGAAAUAAAAAAAGAAGCAUUAAACCUAGUGAAUUUAACUUUCUUUCCAACAAUGGACCUUAUACUUUUCUCACUUCCUCCGUAUGAUUGCCCCUGGAGCGAAAUAUUUUCAUUUUUUCAUUAAUCACUAUUAUCUUGUAGCAGAAUGAAGCCAUACCUUAAACUCAAAUGAAAGCGAAAACCUCUAAGCUUCAAUAGCUUCGUUUCAACUUCUGUUUCAAAUUUAGGGGCAGUGCAUCAAGAAUUGAAAAGACUC
This 1031-nucleotide unclassified non-coding RNA is filed under the name Hevea brasiliensis (rubber tree). Lineage: Eukaryota; Viridiplantae; Streptophyta; Magnoliopsida; Malpighiales; Euphorbiaceae. The record is from RNAcentral.